This 253-nucleotide ribosomal RNA is filed under the name uncultured bacterium. Its description in RNAcentral is "partial 16S ribosomal RNA". It matches the Rfam family "Bacterial small subunit ribosomal RNA", at positions 524 to 776 of the family's 1533-position model. The record is from RNAcentral.
UACGUAGGGUGCAAGCGUUGUCCGGAAUUAUUGGGCGUAAAGAGCUCGUAGGCGGUUCGUCGCGUCGGCUGUGAAAACCCGGAGCUCAACUCCGGGCCUGCAGUCGAUACGGGCGGACUUGAGUGUUGCAGGGGAGACUGGAAUUCCUGGUGUAGCGGUGAAAUGCGUAGAUAUCGGAAGGAACACCAGUGGCGAAGGCGGCUACCUGGCAUGAUACUGACACUGAGGCGCGAGAGCGUGGGGAGCAAACAGG